AUACGUAGGUGGCAAGCGUUGUCCGGAUUUACUGGGUGUAAAGGGCGUGUAGGCGGGACUGCAAGUCAGAUGUGAAAUACAGGGGCUCAACCCCUGAACUGCAUUUGAAACUGUGGUUCUUGAGUGAUGGAGAGGCAGGCGGAAUUCCCAGUGUAGCGGUGAAAUGCGUAGAUAUUGGGAGGAACACCAGUGGCGAAGGCGGCCUGCUGGACAUUAACUGACGCUGAGGCGCGAAAGCGUGGGGAGC
RNAcentral lists this ribosomal RNA (247 nucleotides) under uncultured bacterium. RNAcentral's name for it is "partial 16S ribosomal RNA". It matches the Rfam family "Bacterial small subunit ribosomal RNA", at positions 523 to 769 of the family's 1533-position model. The record is from RNAcentral.